This is a long non-coding RNA of Gasterosteus aculeatus aculeatus (three-spined stickleback), 4044 nucleotides long. NCBI's taxonomy places the organism in Eukaryota, Metazoa, Chordata, Actinopteri, Perciformes, Gasterosteidae. The record is from Ensembl.
AUGGACAGGAGGUGGUUUCAAACUCACCGCCCGCGGUCCACGGUGCUGUUGGCAGACAUGCUGAAGCCAGAGGUCACGUGGAAGGUCAGCGCUCCCACGGUGAGGUUCACGCUGUGCGGCAGCGUGUUGAGGAACCUGAGGAGCCACAGGAGCUCCUGAGUGAGCUGAACUUCUGAAUGAACACAUGAAUGAUCAGAGGCCUCCUUUACCUCAGCAGAGGAUUCCCGUCUUGAUUCUUCCCGAUGUGGUCCGUCACCUAAACGAUCAACGGAUGAGUCAGUGGGAGCGCUGAGUAAAGACUUCACAUCACUGGGAGAUUUUACCCCAAACGAUGAGAAAUUAUAUCUGUAUCGUGUUUACGAAGGAAAGAUCAAUGUCGCGAUUAGAUAUUUAGCACUUUUAUGCUAUUUAUUGUUUAUUAUCAACGAGUCAGCAGGAAGAAGCCAUAUUUGGGCCCCUGAGCCCCUCAAAGCGUCCCCUGCUUUCUGGCCUAUUGGAGACCUGUCACUGUAGAACCAGGACCAGAGGAGUCUCCUCCUGGUGGACGUUAGAGAGAAUGCAGCUUUAACGCAUGAAGCUCUGGCUAAUCCUGGAGGUCCUCCUGGCGCCCCUCACCCGUGUGCAGCUGACCCCCGUGGCGUCCGGGUACAGGAUGAGGCUGUAGGCCUCCCGCUGCUCCGGCCUGAAGCUGCACUCAGACGGCCUCCCGCUGAAGGUGAGCUGGAGCUUCAGCUCGUCUCCGGAGGCCGAGAGGGUCUCGUAUGAGGGGGGGUCCUACAGCAGGGACACCAGAAGUCUGAAUAAUCACCAGCAGUGUUCGUUGUUUUAUUCCCUUAAACUCUGGAGGAGAAACUAAAUAAAUCAUCUGUAAACUCGUGUCUCAUAUUCAUAAACGACUUUAUUACCUUCACAUAAAGCCUGUAGAGAAACAAGGGAUGAGUGUUAUAAAGAAACAAAGUGUUCCUAAAACAUCUAACUAACUUUCUAUGUAAAAGUUUGAUUAGAUUCAACUUUAUUGUCACUGCACAGGGUACAAGUACUGAGGCAACGAAAUGCAGUUUAACAUCCAACAAGUGCAAAAUAGAGUAUGUGCAUAUGUUAAGUGUAGUAAGUGAAUAAAUAGAUAUGUACAGUAAGAAAUAGUUGUGCAAUAUGAACAGUAAGAAAUGGAUAUACAAUAACAAAGUUACAAAAUAACAUAAAUGUACGAGAAUCAACAUAAUUACUAAAAUAACUUUAUUAUACAAUUGUUUCCAAAGCUGAACCAUAAACUUCAUAUUGGUCUUUUAUAUUCAAACGUGACUUUUAUAAGUCGAUGCUUUUUAUUGUCUUUCACAUAGACGGUGUUUGUUGUUGUCGUGGUUACCUGGAGGCGAGGGACGGGGUCCGGGAAGGCGUCGCUGCCGGGGAUCUUCAGCAUCACGUCGCCGUCGGCAACGUUGAUCACCUGCAGCAGGAAGUUGCCCUCCGGCACCGGCGGCACCACCGACCGCUGCACAGCGCGCGCUCAUAUUUAAUACACGUACAUGUGUCCUGUGCGUGUACUUCUUUGACAACGUGGCGGGGGAUCUUAACGCACCACAACGUUCACCUCCACCAGCGUCGCCGCCACGAAGGCCAGCGCCGCAAAGAUCAUCCCGGUGGCCAUUUUCCUCAGAGGCCUGCGGCGACAAAGAGUCCUCGCUUUAACCCAGAGAAGAAGAACUGUGCCCUGAUUGGACGCAGCUGAACUCAAAUGACUCCUGAAAUGUGGGUGUUUCACAUGGACACGUUUACCUUGAGCGCUAAUGCUAAAGCUAAUGCUAACAAGGGGGCUACUCACGUGAUGUUGAUCUUGCAGAGGCCGACCAGCGGAUAGAUGGCGAGGUCGAAGACGGGGAUGAAGAGGAGGAUCAGCAGCGCGUUAAGCAUCUGGAGGGGAAACGAAGGGGGGGGGGUCACAGAGGUCAGAGGUCACAGUCAGACAGGAGCAUCCGUUUCUAAUAGCUGCUGUGAGAAGUGACUCCAACGUGCGGCAGAACAUUAAACAGAACGAUAUUUAAGAUCACGACAAGCCGGCCGAGAACAUUUUAUGGAUAAAUGGGAUUUUAUUCCAUUUAGAUUAAAAAAUGAAUGGAAUGGAGAUAGUUGUUGUUUAUGUUUGAAUGUUACAUUUGGACUCUCCAAACAAGGAGGUGAUUAGCUUAGCUUAGCUUAGCACGAGGACUGGACUGCAUGUAAAAGACAUAUGAUAUCUGCAUGUGUUUAAAUGAUGUAAUAUGAAGGCAACUACAAGAUAUUUGCAUCCAUUUGAAGAAUAUAACAUAAGAUAUUUGCAAAUAGGACCCACCUGCAGCUGGUCUGGCUUAAUAAUGAAGGAGUCUCCCUGAAAGACACCAAGAGGAAUUCAACUUAACACAUUCAAACAUUCACCAGAUGUGUCCCAAACGGCCUCAUUAAAGGUCUUCAAAGGGAUGAACGUGACAGGAUGUGCAGAGUUUGCACAGUAAUCCCACACAAGCAGGUUUAGGACCAUAAACAAGGAAUCUCAGUGGAAAAACAUCACGCUGACAGAAGGACCCGUGAUGAGUCUCGUAAAAGACGCUCAGAUCAGUUCAGGAGAAGAAGUGAAGAAGCUCUCACUACAGCCAUGUUCAUCCGGGUGGCUUGGAGCGUCCAGCGGGAACCCUGCAACACACAAACGGACACCCACCGUUAGCUUAGCCACCGCUAACCACAGCGGACCUCCUGAAGCCAGAGAGCAGCUCGACCUGCUCUUCUGUCAUGAAGCUUCUCUGUGUUUAAAUAUGCAAACUAGAUCUCAUAUUUGUCCUAAUUGUUAUACACUUCCAGAACAAAGUUCUUGUUUGACCUCGUUGACAUGUUACAGCCUUGUGUUUUUAAAGUAGGACUUUAGGAUCCUAAUAUUAUUCCAUAAAUAAAAUCAACAGAAAUGGAAAGUUUGAAGAAAAGGAUUCCUCGUGUUUCAGUAAUAAAAUGAAAGAAAACAAGUGAAAUGUGUUUUCAUGUUGCUUCGUCCAGCAGCCCUUUGUUUGGUCCUGAAUGAGACCAACAUUCCUGUGAAGGGACGGUUCCCACAGCUCAGAGGUUCUCCGCUCUUCACGUACCUGCUGGUCGUACAGAGCCCAGAACAUCGGCAACGGGAUGUAGAGGACCAGAACCCUCAGAACCAUCUUUAUCUCCUGGAUCAGACGCUUCUGUGAAACCACAACAGAUGUUCUAUCAAAGGAGAUCACCUGCGUGGCAAACCAACGUUCUCCUGAAGGAACUUCUAUCUGGUUUUGAACGGGGCUCCGUUGAGUCCUGAUCCUCUUUGAGACAGAAAGGACCCUGGUGGGAGGAGACACUACCACUCUAGUCCACAUUAAAGUAGCGGCAUCUAACAAAUAGGUGGACUUCCAGAUGAGGUCAUGAAUGUUACCGAGUACUUCUCCUCGGACCAGUCCAACCAGUGCUUCCUCUUGGAGUCGUUCUUCGACCUCCGCCAGCGGCUUUUGAUGGCGAACUGUAAACGGAAACAGAAUAACGGGAGUGAAACUGCAGCAGAUGCAACGGAUUACAUGACGUGAGAGACGACAGAAGAGAGGAAAUCAUGAGCUGUGACGGGAGAAGACUCACCGCGAUGCAGCUGCAGACCUCCAGCAGGAUGUUUCCCUGAGGAGGGUUCCUCUGGUACAGCCGGCUGCCACACAUGAACACGACUGCCACACACAGAGGAGGCGUCAGGAGGAGGAGAGAGGAGUCAGGAGGAAGAGUGAGGAGGAAGAGUGAGGAGUCAGGAGGAAGAGAGGAGUCAGGAGAAGGAGAGGAGUCAGGAAGAGUCAGAAGGAAGAGUCAGGAGGAGUAGAGAGGAGUCAGGAGGAAGAGUCAGGAGGAAGAGUGAGGAGGAAGAGUGAGGAGUCAGGAGGAAGAGAGGAGUCAGGAAGAGUCAGAAGGAAGAGUCAGGAGGAGGAGAGAGGAAGAGAGGAGUCAGGAGGAGGAGAGAGGAGGAGAGGAGUCAGGAGGAAGAGUCAGGAGUCAGGAGGAGGAGAGGAGUGAGGAGGA